UAAGCGGAGGAAAGAAACAACCGUGAUUCCCCUAGUAGCGGCGAGCGAACAGGGAUUAGCCCACGCUGAAUCUCUGCAUAUUAAUAAAUGCAGCGAAUAGUAGCGUAUGGGUAGUUUGUUCUGCAUUGUACUAUGUUACCAGCUAAGUUGUCUGGAAUGACAUGCCAAGGAGGGUGACAGCCCCGUAACUGGCAUAGUACUUUGUAAGAACAUCUACUCGAGAGUAGGACUGUUUGAGAAUGCAGUCUGAAAUGGGUGGUGAACUCCAUCCAAGGCUAAAUACGGACACGAGACCGAUAGCACAAAAGUACCGUAAGGGAAAGGUGAAAAAGCACUCUGAAAAGAGAGUUAAAAGUGCUUGAAACCUACCGAGGGAAAAGGCGGAAGAUAAACCUCGAUACCAAUAAUCUUUUAUUAUAGAUCAAAUGUUGCCCCAAUUGGCCUUGGCAAUUUUGAUCGUUGUAAUCUAUGAUUAUUGCUACGUGCGAGGCUAUGUAGAUCUAUUAACACUAAAACAUGGCUGUAAAAUUGAUAACUUUACAAACCUGUUCUAGUACGAAGCUUAAUAGAACUGCAUAUGCAGUCACCAAGGGGUACAAUAUAUUGGUUCUUGAGACUCGUUAGUUUUGAGAACUAGACCAAUAUAUCGAACACUAUCAGUUUAUUAUCAUGUAAUGUAGUACAGUUUUGUACGAUGGUUCAAAACUUUCGGGGGUUGUUCGGUUGUGGGAAGGUGUACUUGUACAUGAUAGUAGACUGAUCUAGUUGUUCAGUACCACCAGUUCUCGUGCGAGAUGGUUUCUUCCGUCCCGUCUUGAAACACGGACCAAGGAGACUUACUGCUACGCGAGUCGAAGGGUUCUUGAAACCCUGAGGCGAAGCGAAAGCGAUCUAGGUGCCAACAUUCUCUUAUGAGGAGUUAUGUGCGCAGCACCGGCCUUCAUAUUAUUCACUUCGGGUGGUAAAAUGAUGAGCUAGAGCGUAGCAGUAGGGACCCGAAAGAUGGCGAGCUAUGCCCGAGCAGGAUGAAGCCAGGAGAAAUCCUGGUGGAGGUCCGCAGCGAUUCUGACGUGCAAAUCGAUCGCUAGACUCGGGUAUAGGGGCGAUAGACCAAUCGAGCCAUCUAGUAGCUGGUUCCCUCCGAAAUAUCCCUCAGGAUCGCGGACACCAUAUCGGUUGAUCAGUUUCAUCACGUAGGGAGAAUGAUUGGAGGUUUCGGGGAUUUUGGGGUCCUCGGCAUACUCUCAAACUUCGAAGUGGUGACACAAGUAUGUUUGGGGCGUUAAUUGGGGUAGCAUACUUGGGAAUGAUCGGUGUCCAGUGGGCCAUUUUUGGUAAGCAGAACUGGCGAUCCGGGAUGAACCGAUAGUCGAGUUAAGGUGCCUAAAUGAGAUUUGAAUGAUACCAUUAAAGGUGUCGGUCAAUGUUGACAGCAGGGCGGUGGCCAUGGAAGUCGGCAUCCGCUAAGGAGUGUGUAUUAACUCACCUGCCCAAUUGACCGGUCCUGAAAAUGGAUGGCGCUUAAUAUUUCGACCGAUACUCGGCCGUUUGAAUUGACUACUCAAACGGGUAGGAGGGCACAACGAUAGCUAAGAAGGAUCAACGUGAGUUGAUCUGGAGCUGUCGUUGGAGCUGAUCUUGGUGGUAGUAGCAACUAUUCGGGUGAGAACCUCGAAGUCCGAGGUGGAGAAGGGUUCCAUGUCAAUUGUAGUAAGACAUGGGUUAGUCGGUCCUAAGUGACUCCCGAAGGGGUUCAAAGACAGACAUCGGCUUUAAAUCUGUCGGUCACGAAAGGGAACCAGGUUAAUAUUCCUGGACCAGAUUAAAUGGAAUUUCGGCAGCAAGUCCAAAAGGUCUAACUAAUAAUUAGUCCUUUUGGUUUGUAGAUUAAGGAAACUUAUCUAUAGUUAAAACUUUCUGUCAAUUAGCGGUAACGCAUCCGAACCGGGCGAUGUCGGACGUAGCCAGAGGAAGAGUUUUCUUUUCUUCAUAACGAACUAAUGACCAUGGAAUCGGGUUCGGAG
This 2024-nucleotide ribosomal RNA is filed under the name Buddenbrockia bryozoides. RNAcentral describes it as "partial 28S ribosomal RNA". It matches the Rfam family "Eukaryotic large subunit ribosomal RNA", at positions 47 to 1740 of the family's 3401-position model. The record is from RNAcentral. Lineage: Eukaryota; Metazoa; Cnidaria; Myxozoa; Malacovalvulida; Saccosporidae.